RNAcentral lists this long non-coding RNA (692 nucleotides) under Ananas comosus (pineapple). RNAcentral describes it as "long non-coding RNA (ACOM_LNC016318)". The record is from RNAcentral. Lineage: Eukaryota; Viridiplantae; Streptophyta; Magnoliopsida; Poales; Bromeliaceae.
UAUGCGAUUUUUCGAUAUUAUUUGCCUAGUGAACGAAGAGGCCUCAAAAUCAACGGCUGAAAAUAAAAAUAUUACAAAACGUGAUAAUAUGACAUUAAAAUUUUAGAUCAAAGAUAUUGAUCUUGUUUUAUAUAGUAUAAAGAAUUUUCUAUCAAAAUUUCACGUGAUUUGGAUAUUUCUACACCGUUAAACUUGCAAACGGCUCACUACGGCUAUUAAAAUUAUUGAUUUUGAGCCCCUUCGAUCACUAGGCAAAUGAUAUCGAAAAAUCAUAAAAUUUAUUUUCUAGGUACUUCAAAUACUCUAGAUCAAGUUUAACGGAGCCGAUCGACGAUUCAAAAGUCGCAACAUCGAAAAAGACCUGGAAGCCCGGAAGGCUCUAUACUUCCAGAAGCAUCGUAGCCUCACACUAUAUAUAUAGGCUAGAAUAUUGUUAAUAGCACCAAGCUAUUGGUGCUAUUAAUUUUUUAACCCUUAAAUUGAGAAAUAUACUUUUGAGAUGAUGUGGGCCUCCUAGCAGCCGGAUAUAUAUAUAUAUAGUCCGGCUGGGAUACUAUCAAUAACACUAAAUACUUGGUGCUACUGAGUUUUUUACUGUUAGAUUUAACCAUUUGACUAGUUUCACCUAUUGGAUUAUAAUCUCUCUACCUGUUUGUUUUUUUUUUUUUUUUUUUUUUUUUUUUUUUUUUUUU